GCCAAGCCUAGAAGGAUGGAAUCGGAGCCGAAAGGCAACGACGCCCCGUCGCUAUGUGGUUGUUACCUACUUUGAUGAGUCCCCCACGCUGGACGUUAGGGUGUUGCCAAUCCUUUGCCAUUAUAGAUAUGGCUUCGGUGGUGGUCUUCUGCACCUGCAGCUUUGAGUGCCCGCAGAUGACUUUGUGAAACAUCCGCCAACGUGGCUUGCUGAACACCGUGGGCCUUUUUAGGGGUCCUGAUGCCUGCGGCCAAAACGUCUCCCUUAAAGACCGUGUCAGUUUCAGGGCUCUCUAUCGAUCAGCGUCCUAAAUCCACCUCACUGAUUGUGAAAUGACUGAGUGUGCCUUCACAGAUGCGGCCCUCCCCGAGCCCCGAAACUUACUUUCCGGGUCCUUCUCUGCUCAUCGCCAGACAGCAGCCCACGGUCACAUUUCCUCUCCUCUGAUUAACUAGAGGGCCUCUCAUUCAUCGGCCGCUCACCUCAUCCUCUCUGGUCCCGCCUCCCUUCUUUCUCCACGUGGUCAGCAAAGCAUAUCGGAAAUGUCCCCAAAUGCAGAGAAGACCCUUCUGGUUUGAGAAGUAGCCCCAAGAGGCCUAUUCAAGAGGAAAGACCUUCGAAGUCCUGCACUUUAUCUUGGAAGUUCUAGUGACCUCUGAAUUCUACUUUAUAGUCAAUCUCCUUUACAAUAAAAACAGUAUUUCCCCUA
Molecule: long non-coding RNA, 709 nt
Organism: Felis catus (domestic cat)
Lineage: Eukaryota; Metazoa; Chordata; Mammalia; Carnivora; Felidae
Exons: 2
Source: RefSeq, a predicted model, not a curated record